Molecule: long non-coding RNA, 859 nt
Filed under: Homo sapiens (human)
Lineage: Eukaryota; Metazoa; Chordata; Mammalia; Primates; Hominidae
Description: HSALNT0142764
Source: RNAcentral
CUGAAUGCCACUGGAGAUGUUUCUUCCCAAUUCUCAUAAUUUAAAAGCCCCACAGAGGCAGAGAACAUCUCUGUCUUUUUCAGAGUUGUAUUCUCGGUGACACACAUAGAUUAACUGCUCAAUAAAUAUUUAUUUAAUGAACAGAUGAGUAACUUAGCAAACCUCUCUUCGCUUCAAUCUUCUAAUUUGUUAAGUAGCCUUAUGAAUACGUAGAUCCUAGGGCCAUUAUAAAUAGUCGAUGGGCUAACGAACACUACACAGAACACAGGAGGUCCUCAAUAAAUAGAGGCUGCAAUGAAUGGAAAUGAAUAUACCAGUGAAGAUAUUUUUGUUCACAAUCAAAUGGCUUAUUCAUUUCAUGUACAGGCAUUACCUUAUUUUAAGUCUUUUUAGUAGCAUGUUUUGAUUAUCUUUUAAUAGUCCUAGAGGGAAAAGAAUUAACCUAAGGAAAAUGUAUCACUGUUUUAGCUUUAAGCUCAAGUCAUAACUAAUUGCUUCUAAUAUGAUAAACAGAAACUAGCUUAUUCCCUAGACAACCAUACCUUAAUUCUAAAUUUAAGAUAACUCUGUUAAUUUUUGUCAAUUACAUAAUUUCUGGAACUUCAUUUUUUUGCAGAGGAUAGGGUUCAGGAGGAGGACUUGAAAAAAGAUCGUCUCAGGGUUGUGAAAGAAGAUACAAUCAGCAAGCCUCUGAGAAAUCACAGCUGAUGACUAAGUCCACAGUCUGCUCAUAAAAUGUAGAGUUAUAGCUCUUGCUCUCACCACUGUCUCUGAUGAGUCUGAAGAAUUGUGAAUCACUAAAAGUCUCUACUUCUUUAAAUGUCUAGAAAGACUGUUCAAAUCACCUGGAAAGCUUGCA